GACGUAGGGGGCAAGCGUUGUCCGGAAUUAUUGGGCGUAAAGCGCUCGUAGGUGGAUCGAAAAGUCUGUGAGGAAAUACCUGGGCUCAACUCAGGAACCCGUGCGGAUACUUUCGAUCUUGAGGCAAUCAGAGGAUGAUGGAAUUCCCGGUGUAGCGGUGAAAUCCGUAGAUCUACGAAGGAACGCCAAAAGCGAAGGCAGCUCUCUGGGUCCCUACCGACGCUGGGGUGCGAAAGCAUGGGGAGCGAACAGG
This 253-nucleotide ribosomal RNA is filed under the name uncultured bacterium. Its description in RNAcentral is "partial 16S ribosomal RNA". It matches the Rfam family "Bacterial small subunit ribosomal RNA", at positions 524 to 776 of the family's 1533-position model. The record is from RNAcentral.